This 460-nucleotide ribosomal RNA is filed under the name uncultured bacterium. RNAcentral's name for it is "partial 16S ribosomal RNA". It matches the Rfam family "Bacterial small subunit ribosomal RNA", at positions 338 to 795 of the family's 1533-position model. The record is from RNAcentral.
CCUACGGGAGGCAGCAGUGAGGAAUAUUGGUCAAUGGGCGGGAGCCUGAACCAGCCAAGUCGCGUGAGGGAAGACGGUCCUAUGGAUUGUAAACCUCUUUAGGCGGGGAGCAAUGCCGGGCACGUGUGCCCGGAGGGAGAGUACCCGCAGCAUAAGCAUCGGCUAACUCCGUGCCAGCAGCCGCGGUAAUACGGAGGAUGCGAGCGUUAUCCGGAUUUAGUGGGUUUAAAGGGUGCGUAGGCGGAUUUUUAAGUCAGCGGUAAAAUGUCCGGGCUCAACCCGGGCCGGCCGUUGAAACUGGGGAUCUUGAGUGGGCGAGAAGUAUGCGGAAUGCGUGGUGUAGCGGUGAAAUGCAUAGAUAUCACGCAGAACUCCGAUUGCGAAGGCAGCAUACCGGCGCCCGACUGACGCUGAGGCACGAAAGCGUGGGGAUCGAACAGGAUUAGAUACCCCGGUAGUC